GACACAGUCAGAGAGAAGACACGCUGGGUCUCGGCUCGACUCCGCUCCACUCUCCUCCGUGAGCAGGUGCCCUAUAAACCCUGCAAAGAGGAAAAGUUGGAUAUCUAAGGGUCUAGGGCCUUUCCAGAAAGACAGGCAGACAAUAACUAAGAGAGAAGAUGGUGCAGAGCUAUAGAGCGGCUAAAGCGGGUGAAGGCAGCCGCGCAGUGAGCACUCUGAGCGGGCACAAGCAGCGACUGGGCGCUGAUGAAUCACGAGAGCGGCCGCUGGAUGAGAGCGUGCCCGGGAAGAGCGUCUGUGCGCCGGGUAUGUGAGAAUCCGCUCUGGAUGAACACGGAACUCUGGAUGUGUGUCGAAUGGAAACGAAGACUGAGAGACACCAGCGUUUAAGUUUCUUGCCUGUAAAUCUCUGCUCUGCUGGGGAGAUAAAACGGCCCAAAUGAAACGAAGACGCAUGUCAAGCAUGGCGGUGAUAAUUGGAUUGUGUGGACACCUGUAUGAGUGCAGUAUAUCCAGGGGAUUAGAGGACUGGAUGGGUCUUGCAGCUUCUGUCCAAACCUGUGGGUCCAGUUGUAUCCAGGACAUGUCCCUUGAUUGCCUCAGCUAAAUUCUCCUGCUUUUGUCAUCUACUGGAGGGCCGGACCUGCACGCUGGUGACCGCAGUGUCAGCAAACGAGCUGCAUCAACCUCCCAGUGAACGCAAGACUCGGAUCUGUGCUGAAAUUAUUGUGUAUAUAAAAGAUACUUUUGCCACUAUGUCGUGUGUGACUCGUUUCAUUAAAAAUAAUUCAUGUUUUGUUAUUUAAAAUAUUAUAAUACAAGAUAACUGCUUUCAAAAAACAAUCUUUACUAAUCUCUCUUUGAUAGCAUAAACUCUUGUUCUUUGUUUGAUACAUCAA
This is a long non-coding RNA of Xyrauchen texanus (razorback sucker), 899 nucleotides long. RefSeq lists it as uncharacterized. The transcript is spliced from 5 exons. Lineage: Eukaryota; Metazoa; Chordata; Actinopteri; Cypriniformes; Catostomidae. The record is from RefSeq and is a predicted model, not a curated record.